GGGCACAACGAAGACAGACUCUCCGAGUUCGCAUGGUGGAAACACUUUGUGAUUCUCUGGGAAAAGUCCCCGGACCUGUGGUAGAAAUACCUUGCUUUGAGAGCUGAUAGAAGCAACGAUUCUCGUCUGAGCGAAGAUCCUUUCGAGGUGAGCAAUGUGAGGAGUUGAUUUCUUUUAGUCAUAGCAAAGUCAUGUCUGUGCAGCUUCUCAUUUGUACGAAGUUGUUACUCAACGGGGCUUACUCUCGUUGUGUC
Molecule: RNase MRP RNA, 254 nt
Filed under: Clytia hemisphaerica
Lineage: Eukaryota; Metazoa; Cnidaria; Hydrozoa; Leptothecata; Clytiidae
Description: rNase MRP
Rfam family: RNase MRP
About the family: RNase MRP is an enzymatically active ribonucleoprotein with two distinct roles in eukaryotes. In mitochondria it plays a direct role in the initiation of mitochondrial DNA replication.
Source: Rfam by way of RNAcentral